Molecule: ribosomal RNA, 715 nt
Filed under: uncultured bacterium
Lineage: Bacteria
Description: bacterial SSU rRNA
Rfam family: Bacterial small subunit ribosomal RNA
Source: RNAcentral
UCGAUUAGUUUGAUCAUGGCUCAGGACGAACGCUGGCGGCGUGCCUAACACAUGCAAGUCGAGCGGAAAGGCUCCUUCGGGAGUACUCGAGCGGCGAACGGGUGAGUAACACGUGGGUAAUCUGCCCAGGACACAGGAAUAACCAGUGGAAACGCUGGCUAAUGCCUGAUGAAGUGCCGGCCUUGCGGGGCUCGGUACCAAAGGUAGCUUCGGCCUCCGGUCUUGGAUGAGCCCGCGGCCCAUUAGCUUGUUGGCGGGGUAACGGCCCACCAAGGCGACGAUGGGUAGCUGGUCUGAGAGGAUGAUCAGCCACACUGGGACUGAGACACGGCCCAGACUCCUACGGGAGGCAGCAGUGGGGAAUCUUGCGCAAUGGGCGAAAGCCUGACGCAGCAACGCCGCGUGCGGGAAGAAGGCCUUCGGGUUGUAAACCGCUUUCAGCGGGGAAGAAGGCGAGCGGGUUAAUAGCCCGUCAGCUGACGGUACCCGCAGAAGAAGGUCCGGCUAACUACGUGCCAGCAGCCGCGGUAAUACGUAGGGACCGAGCGUUGUCCGGAAUCAUUGGGCGUAAAGAGCGUGUAGGCGGCCACUUAAGUCCUGCGUGAAAUCCUGCGGCUCAACCGCAGGCGGUCGUGGGAAACUGGGUGGCUAGAGUGCGGGAGAGGAGAGUGGAAUUCCUGGUGUAGCGGUGGAAUGCGCAGAUAUCAGGAAGAAC